RNAcentral lists this ribosomal RNA (300 nucleotides) under uncultured Thiodictyon sp. RNAcentral describes it as "partial 16S ribosomal RNA". It matches the Rfam family "Bacterial small subunit ribosomal RNA", at positions 496 to 795 of the family's 1533-position model. Lineage: Bacteria; Pseudomonadati; Pseudomonadota; Gammaproteobacteria; Chromatiales; Chromatiaceae. The record is from RNAcentral.
GCGAAAGACGGGGGAGCAGCCGCGGUAAUGCGGGGGGGGCAAGGGUUAAUCGGAAUUACUGGGGGGAAAGCGUGCGCAGGCGGUUUUGUAAGGCGGUCGUGAAAUCCCCGGGCUCAACCUGGGAAUGGCGAUGGAGACUGCAAGGCUAGAGUUUGGCAGAGGGGGGUAGAAUUCCACGUGUAGCAGUGAAAUGCGUAGAUAUGUGGAGGAACACCGAUGGCGAAGGCAGCCCCCUGGGUCAAAACUGACGCUCAUGCACGAAAGCGUGGGGAGCAAACAGGAUUAGAUACCCCAGUAGUC